GGUGGCUCAGUGGUAGAGUGCUUGUCUUGUAAGCAUGAGGCCCUGGGUUUGAUUCCUCAGCACCA
Molecule: transfer RNA, 65 nt
Filed under: Dipodomys ordii (Ord's kangaroo rat)
Lineage: Eukaryota; Metazoa; Chordata; Mammalia; Rodentia; Heteromyidae
Rfam family: tRNA
About the family: Transfer RNA (tRNA) molecules are approximately 80 nucleotides in length.
Source: Rfam by way of RNAcentral